CUUACAUACUCUAUAAUACUGAGUCAUGUCUAGUGCAUGAUGUGCGAUGGAAAAUUAUAUAUAUAUUUGUUAUGUAUCGCUUUUAACAUUGUCUUGAUGCAACGAUAUUAGGUCAGUGUCACUAAUUCCUUCCUGCCAAAGUCUUCAAAAGACCCGAGUGAAAAUAAAGCAAUACCAAAAUAAAGAAAUCUGAAUCGAUUAUGUUUUUAUACCAUCCACACAUAUCACUAAAACCGGACAGACGAAGAACGGAAAAAUGUCUUUUUUUUUUGGCAUCAAGCAUUCAGUUUUAGGGGUUUAGUGUCGCAACGGAUUCCUGAUCAUGACGCACCUGAGUGCAUGGAUGUUUUAACGUGUUGACAUUUAUUUUACAUGCAAAGUAUUGUUUAUUUAAAUUACUAUACCUUUCCUUUGAGCUCUAACCAGUCUGACAGUGUGAACACAGAAUGGUAAACCAGGUCAACUAUAGAGACUCUACAGUCUGUGGGUCAAAAUCGACAUCACAAUAUUUCCUCGUUUCAUGUUUAAAGUGAACAUUAAGUGAAGAUCCUGAUCUGAAUCUGCACUUCUGCUACCAGGCUACUGCAGGAAUAAUGGUAUUCCUAUUAAAGUGGCCGCCAAGGCUGUACAAAGACCCAAGCACGGGCGUGUUCCUAGAGGUCUGGUGUUGAUUAAGGAUGUGAGUGUGUGUAGGAAGUAAGCGUGGGUGUAAAUGGAUUUUCCCGAAACUGUUCAUCCUGAGGACCGAUUGACUCAAAAUAUCCAGACGUUGCCGGUGCCAUGUAAUCAUGACCAUAUCUGAUUAUAGCUGUUGAUACAGCAUUUAGAAGAGGGCUCAGGGGCCCAGCAGAGGCAGUCUAGUGGACAUGGGAUUUGAACUCACAACCUUCCAAUUGGCAGCCCAACACUUUAACCACCGUAACCACGUCUCCCAUGAAGCUUUAUGUCGCAAAAUAGAUCCCGUUAAUUAAUAAGAUUACCAAUUAAUUAGAUUAAUUAAUAAGAAACUUCUCGAUGACGUAGGAGGGUAGGCUGUGUUAUUGUGACUUAUUAUUAGGAGGGUAAACUGUGUUAUUGUGACUUAUUAAUAGGAGGGUAAACUGUGUUAUUGUAAAUUAUUAAUAGGAGGGUAGGUUGUGUUAUUGUGACUUAUUAACCUUUAGAGAAGUGACUGAUUUGUACAUCAGGUUUCUGAGCAUUGUCUGAUAUUAAAAAGUACACCCUCUAGUGGUCAAAUCCGUAAAUGCAGCCUAAUACACACAACACUCGGUCUGAAUUACUUCUUACCUUUUUUGCAGUUUUUCUCCUCCUUUUGUAUUUAAUUAUGAGGUUCAAAUACUUUAUUUUGGUGACCUUUUAUGCACUAAUUUGUGCUGGAUUAGCCCUCUAGUGGUCAAAUCCGUAAAUCCAGCCUAAUACCCACAACACUCAGUCUGAAUGACUUCUUACUUCUAUUCCAGUCCAUCUCUAUAAUAAAAGAUAGAUUGUUUUUACACAGUAAAAGCUGUACAUUUACAAAAGGAAUGAUACUAAAGUUACACAUUCAUACAGUAAUUUACUGGAACUGAAUCACCAGGUAAUUAAAAACAUGUAUGGAAUGAGUCUCCAGUGUCAGACUGUGUGUGAUAUGAGUGUGAUACAUUUAUUUUUUUUAGAUUUGAGAUGAAGAUGAAGUUAAAAAUAGAACCUUGUUCCCUCAUUUAUCUCGGUUGCACACAAAUAAUUUGGACCAAUCACUAA
Tachysurus fulvidraco (yellow catfish) is the source of this 1740-nucleotide long non-coding RNA. RefSeq lists it as uncharacterized. The record is from RefSeq and is a predicted model, not a curated record. The transcript has 3 exons. NCBI's taxonomy places the organism in Eukaryota, Metazoa, Chordata, Actinopteri, Siluriformes, Bagridae.